GAAUAAGCGCAUAUGGUGGAUGCCUAGGCAGUUAGAGGCGAUGAAGGACGUGUAAGUCUGCGAUAAGCAUUGGGAAGCUGACAAAACGCGUUAUACCCAAUGAUUUCCGAAUGGGGAAACCCAGGUCUUAGGACCUAUCUUAUAGUGAAUACAUAGCUAUAUGAAGCAAACGAGGGGAACUGAAACAUCUAAGUACCCUUAGGAAAAGAAAUCAACCGAGAU
RNAcentral lists this ribosomal RNA (222 nucleotides) under Dinophysis acuminata. RNAcentral's name for it is "partial Bacterial large subunit ribosomal RNA". It matches the Rfam family "Bacterial large subunit ribosomal RNA", at positions 1 to 235 of the family's 2925-position model. The record is from RNAcentral. Lineage: Eukaryota; Dinophyceae; Dinophysales; Dinophysaceae.